GAUCUAUUGCAUUAACAUCAAGAAGCACAGAAAUUGCCUCAAGUCACCGACAUACCUCAUCAGGAAGAAAGCAAUGAAUCAUGUCCCAUUUCCAAUUCUGCCCAUCCCACAUUUGAGCAACUGUGAGUUGUUUGAUACAACUUGGGACUGGUUGAAUAGCGAAAUCACCAAGGGGACCAUCAUUCAUAAUCCAAGCCCAUAAGCUAUCCUCUUCAUUAAGCAGACGCCAACCAAGCUUUACAAGGAAAGCAGUAUUCAUAUGUCUACUGGAUCGAAUCGCCAAUCCUCUUCGAUCAAGCAGAAGACAAA
Molecule: unclassified non-coding RNA, 309 nt
Filed under: Hevea brasiliensis (rubber tree)
Lineage: Eukaryota; Viridiplantae; Streptophyta; Magnoliopsida; Malpighiales; Euphorbiaceae
Source: RNAcentral